UUUUAGUCUAAUAAUGUUGACAGAUUGUCUAUAUGGGUCUAGCCUGUGUGGACCAGUUUCGUCCAGUUCAGACUGACUUACCUUGAUAUACUCAUGCUGGAUCUGUUCCAGUGUCUCCAGUGUCUUUUUGGAAAGAGAGACAGAAACAGUGAGCACAGACUUAGAACGUCCAACUCUCAGACUCUCCACAACCUCACACUUCCUCCUCCCCCUGUGUCUCUCUUGCCUCCCUUCCCCAUCUCCUCCCUCAUCAGCUCUUUCUCCCCCCUGUCUUACCAGUGAUGGAGGGUUAUUGAAAGCUCUAUGGCUUUGUGCAUGCAACAGAAGGCAGGGCUACUCCCGCGACUGUCCCUUUCCACAGUCACCUUGAACUCUCCCAGCUCUCAGUCCCCCUCUGACACUGUCACGAGAGAGUCAUCAAAACACACUGCUGCACUUCUGCGGAAACUUACACACAGAGCGUGCACACACACACAGAGCGUGCACACACACACACACACACACACACACACUCACACACUCACACACACACACACACUUAAAGCAGCAAUCAAGCAAACAGAUCAUCACAUGACUAGCAGCCUAUAAAUAAAUGGUUAUGUAUAAAUGGUUAGCUAUCUUUUCACAGAGACACACAAACCCUUACUAACGUUCGCUAGAUAGCAAGUAGCAAGCCUACCGGUACAGUAGUGUUACAAUAGCAUUAAAUAGCUGUAACGAUUGUCCUCUUCUUCUGACAUGGAGUAAGAUAUGUCGGACCAAUGCGCAGCGUGGUAAUUGUCCAUUUUAAUAUAUAAAACUGAACACUACAAAAAUAUAAAAUAUCACCGUGAAUGAACAAAUGAAAAUCGAAAUAGUCCCGUGUGGUACAAACACAGACACAGGAAACAAUCACCCACAACUCAAAAGUGAAACCAGGCUACGUAAGUAUGGUUCUCAAUCAGGGACAAUGAUUGACAGCUGCCUCUGAUUGAGAACCAUACCAGGCCAAACACAGAAAUCCCAAAACAUAGAAAAAGGAACAUAGACUACACACCCAACUCACACCCUGACCAUACUAAAACAAAGACAUAACAAAAGAACUAAGGUCAGAACGUGACAAUAGCUUUAAAUGCUAGCUACAUUAUCUAGUUAUGUGCAAAGCCUCUAGGAUAACGCACAGUCAUAUAUGUACACUACCGUUCAAAAGUUUGGGGUCACUUAGAAAUAUCCUUGUUUUUGAAAGAAGAGCAACAUUUUUGUCUAUUAUAAUAACAUUAAAUUGAUCAGAAAUAUAGUGUAGACAUUGUUAAUGUUGUAAAUGACUAUUGUAGCUGGAAAAGCUGGUUUUUAAUGGAAAAUCUAGAGGCCUAUUAUCAGCAACCAUCAUUCCUGUGUUCCAAUGCACGUUGUGUUAGCUAAUCCAAGUUUAUCAUUUUAAAAGGCUAAUUGAUCAUAGAAAACACUUUUGCAAUUAUGUUAGCACAGCUGAAAACUGAUGUACUGGUUAAAUAAGCAAUACAACUGGCCUUCUUUAGACUAGCUGAGUAUCUGGAGCAUCAGCAUUUGUGGGUUUGAUUACAGGAGCAAAAUGGCCAGAAACAAGGAACUUUCUUCUGAAACUAGUCAGUCUAUUCUUGUUCUGAGAAAUGGUUAUUCCAUGCGAGAAACUGCCAAGAAACUGAAGAUCACAUACAACGCUGUGUGCUACUCCCUUCACAGAACAGUGCAAACGGGCUUUAACCAGAAAAGAAAGAGGAGUGGGAGGCCCCAGUGCACAACUGAUUAAGAGGACAAGUACAUUAGAGUGUCUAGAUUGAGAAACAGAUGCCUCACAAGUCCUCAACUGGCAACUUCAUUAAAUAGUACCCGCAAAACACCAGUUUCAAUGUCAACAGAAGGCAAGCAUCCCAGAGUCGCCUCUUCACUGUUGACUUUGAGACUGGUGAUUGAACUCUUUGGCCUGAAUGCUAAGCGUCACAUCUGGAGGCAUCAUCAUGCUGUGGGGGUGUUUUUCAGCGCCAUGGACUGGGAGACUAGUCAGGAUCGAGCCAAAGAUGAACAGAGCAAAGUACAGAGAGAUCCUUGAUGAAAACCUGCUCCAGAGCACUCAGGACCUCAGACUGGGGUGAAGGUUCACCUUUCAACAGGACAACGAUCCUAAGCACACAGCCAAGACAAUGUAGGAGUGGCUUCGGGGGCAAGUCUCUGAAUAUCCUUGAGUGACCCAGCCAGAGCCCAGACUUAAACCUGAUCGAACAUCUCUGGAGAGACCUGAAAAUAGCUGUGCAGGAACUCUCCCCAUUCAACCUGACAGAUCUUGAGAGGAUCUGCAUAGAAGAAUGGGAGAAACUCCCCAAAUACAGGUGUGCAAAGCUUCUAGCAUCAUACCAAAGAAGACUUGAGGCUGUAAUCGCUGCCAAAGGUGCUUCAACAAAGGGUCUGAAUACUUAAGUAAAUUAAAUAUUUUACACAAGUAUUCAAAAUCAAAAAUAAUGAUUUUGCUUUGUCGUUAUGGGUUAUUGUGUGUACAUUGAUGAGGAAAAAACAAACUUAAUUAAAUUUAGAAUAAGGCUGUAACCUAACAAAAUGUGGAAAAUGUCAAGGGGUUCGAAUACUUUCCGAAGGCACUGUAUACACGGAGUACCAGUACCAGAUCAAUGUGCAGCGGUAGAACUUUUGGAGGAUCUGAGGAACCAGGCCAAAUCUUUUCAGCCUCCAGAGUGGGAAGAGGCUCUGCCGUGCCCCUUUCACGACAGUGCGGGUGUGUGUGGACCAUGUUAAGUCCUUAGUGAUGUGGACAACAAGGAACUUGAAGCUCUCGAUCCACUCCACAACAGCCCGUCAAUGUGGAUGGGGACGUGCUCUCCCUUUUUUCUCCUAUAAUCCACGAUCAGCUCCUUGGUCUUGUUGAUGUUGAGGGAGAGGUUGUUGUCACAUUUAUAUUAUUGGCUUUAUUUUUUGCCUCUUGGGUUCCCCAUGGGUCUGGGCCCUGGGGCUUCAGCCCCAGUAAGCCCCUAUAUUUACCCAGCCCUAUGUACUGUGGUAGGAGGUGAGAGUUGAAGCUUGGGAGAGAGAUUGUAGGUGGGAGGUUGAAUUGUGUUGUUUUAUGGGAUGUUAGGUCAAGCGAAACUCUUUGGCCACAGUGAAGGGAUGUGGCUGUGAUGCACAUCCACCUCUAAUUAGGUGUGUUGAUUACAUCACAGCAGGAAGCUGGAGACCAACCAGCAGGAUGUGGGGUAUUGUUUCGCAACUAGGAAUAGGUACAGAUGGAAGGGGGUUGGGAUGGAGGUGUGUGUGCUUUUGUGUGUGUUCAUGUGAGUGCACGUUUGUAUCGGGGGAAGUGUUUACUCACAACUUUCCUGAAACCCACAACUUGUAGUCUCCAAACAAGUCUCAAUCAGACAUUGAAACGCUGGCAUUGACUUUUAGCUUUGAAUGCUUAUCAGCUCUAACAAUGACAUUUUGUUACGAAAUCCCAAAACUGAUGUUUACUGUAAACCACAUUUCUUUGAGCACUGGUGAUAGUUGUCCUGGCGCUGCCUUGAACAUUUUAGAUGGUCUUGAGGAGAAUGCUGAAGUACUGCCAGACAGUGCAGGAUUUGUUUUUUCAUCAGACCUUGAUAAAUGGGAGUGCAUUUUUUUAUUUUUUUUAUCUGGACUGUGUCAGCACCUGAAUACAACACUGUACAAUUGGACUGCAUCUCGUUAUGGGGUGAAAAGUUGAAUCUUGAAGUGUUAUGUCUACAACUAUUCAAACCACACCUACAACGUCUUUAUUAAAGGCCGAUAAUGUACCUGAUUUCAAUUGAGCAGGUAUACAAUUGGUUUUGAACUCUAUUUCAUAGGUACAAGGUGAAAGAGUGGUUAAUACAGCGGAUGAAAAGGUACAGAAUACACUGCAGUUGUACAUCUCUGAAUGUUCUGAACAUUACCUCUCUCCUUUUUAAAACCCCAAAUAGCCUUGCAACUGUAUGACCUACAAAAUGUUUUUGUGUAUUUUUCUGCUUGCUACUAUCUGAAAGAGCAUGUCGUCCUGAUAAUGACUGGACUGGAGCAGAGGUGAGCUGAGGUGGGUCUGGGCCUGUGAGGCUAAUGUUCUGUGUCUGUAUUACAGGUGGAGCACUGGGGCCAUAUCUGCAGCACCAGGCCUAGCUCUGAUCCACUGUGACAGUCUCCCUUUAGUUUCCAUUGCAAAUGGAGUGCUUUGGCGUGGGCCCUUAGAUCCUCAAAAAGUUAUACAGCUGCACCAUUGAGAGCAUCUUGACUGGCUGCAUCUCCUCUUGAUAUGGCAACUGCUUGGCAUCCGACCAGAAGGAACUACAAAGCAAGCGAUACGAUGCACCAAGUCUGGAACCAACAGGACCAUGAAUGGCAUCCAUUCUCAAGCCAUAGACUGCUAAAUAGUUAACCAAAUACCUACCCAGAUCAUCUGCAUUGACCCCCUUGUGCACUAAAACUUUGAAUAAUCACAUUAGCUGCUGCCACCGCCUAUUAUCAAUCCUGGUGCCUCAUCUUUAUCCCUACCUACAGUAUACAGUACUUACAUAUUUACCUCAAUUACCUCGUACGCAUGCACAUUGACUCUGUGCAGGUACAGAGCCAAAUAAUCGUUACUCACUGUGUUUUUAUUUCUUGUGUUAUUAGUUUUCUAUUUUGUAUUUUAUUUUGUAUCUGCAUUGUUGAGAAGGGCCCGUAAGUAAGCAUUUCACUGUUUGUGUCCACUUGUUGUUUACAAAGCAUGUGAAAAAUAACAUUUGAUUUGCCCUGUUUUUAUUUUGCUCCCGAACAUAAAAUUACACAAUUGUCAUACAUCUGCCCCAGCGCAUUCACAGCAGAGCUGCGCUUUGUCGAAUAGCAAUCAGCCACGCUUUGCCCCGUGACCCUAAGUGGCUGUGAUAGCUUUGUCUCCUCCAUCCUCUUAUCUCCACGCUUCUAAUGGUUAAACAGUUUUACACCCAGCCCUGCAACAGCACAGCUGAACAGAGCAUUAUGUUAUAUCACUAGGCUAGCUCCCUACAGCAAAUGUGUUCCGAGGGGCUAAACGGAAAAGAGAGAGAGUGUGGUGAAUGUAUAAUGUAACUCGUGUUAUCAUUGCUAUCUCUGCACAUUGAGACAUUAUUUAAAUAUGGCUAAUUUGCCAGUUUGAAUAGAAUAGCAAUCUGUACAGUUUCCAUCUCUUUAUUAUCUGCUCAGCAUUGCAUGAGUGAAGUUCAGGGAGUGAAGAAGAAGACAUACCAGACAGAAUGGUCAAAGUAAAUCAAGUAAACAACACAUCAAGCUAUGAAAGGUGAAUAGACAUGUUUUGUUUGUCCCUAAACCUUCCAGCAAUGCUUACAUUGCAGAUUAUGUUUAUAGACACGCACACACACACACACACACACACACACACACAGCAUCUCAUCACAGAUGAUCAUGUCAGCAGACACCUUGUUUCCUGCUUAAAAUGGAUCACUUUGUAAUGGUAGUUGUGAACUUUACCCCAAAGUCAACAUAUAGGCUGACAUACCAUUCAUGCUGUUCUACAUGUGAUAUCAAAUGAUAAUAACAGUUGAUGAUGGUGAUGGAUACAUUACUCUUAUUUUUAUUAAUAAAC
Molecule: long non-coding RNA, 5575 nt
Organism: Oncorhynchus tshawytscha (Chinook salmon)
Lineage: Eukaryota; Metazoa; Chordata; Actinopteri; Salmoniformes; Salmonidae
Source: Ensembl